CCCCGCACGCCCGUCAGCCGGCCCGGCCCCGCCCAGCCAGCCGGCGGCUCGCCAACCAUUGGCUGCGGCAGCCUUGCGUCACCUCCCCUUGCGGGCCCCGCCCUCCCGCCUGGUUUCUAAUGAAGAGCUCGUCAAUUACGGCUCGGCCCCGCCUCCCGCCCGCCCGCCCCGGGCGCCUGGCCGGCCUUCCAUUGGCCCGCUGAAACCUGCGCACAGCCCGUCUGCUCCCACCCCUCGCCCAGCGGCUGCUCAACCGCGGGGCCGGAUGCCCUAUGAGCGGCAGAGAGGCUCCACCCCUGCCCGCCUCCCCGCACGCGUCCUGGACCUCAUUGGCUGCUGGAGCUGCCAAUUCUAGAGGGAGUAUGACAACUUUUCAACUUGAGUGCACACACUGUCCCCGGAAUCCCGCGUUCCAGGGAGGAAGCGCCUUUGACAGCGCGCGCCGGUUCGUGGGGCCCGACGGCGUGGGCCUGUGGUUGCGGACCUGGCGGAGAUGCGCGUUCGCUUCGAUUGUAGGCCAUUCCUUUUAGGAGCUGAGAAAGGAUCCGUUUUUACAGCAUUCUCGACCUGUGAUUCUUGGUGGGGGAAACUAGUUAUGUGGAUAAAAAUACAGUUAGCAAAAUAAAAAUGCCAAUUUUACAUUUCCUUAAAUAUCUCAUUAAUAAUUAGAAAACUUUGGUCAUUGCAAGAAAUGCUUAGGCUAAACUUAGAAGGAAAGGAAUGGUGAAUUAGAGAACUUUAAAA
Molecule: long non-coding RNA, 744 nt
Filed under: Homo sapiens (human)
Lineage: Eukaryota; Metazoa; Chordata; Mammalia; Primates; Hominidae
Description: HSALNT0309753
Source: RNAcentral